UCAUCUUCUUCUUUUUUUCAUAUUUUUCUAACCAUCUAUAAUGUUCGGAAUCUCGGUAAGUGCAACGCAUUCGGUUGUUCCGGACCAAUCAAAUCAAACGAAUAGGAAAAAAAUUAGGAGUUUUCAAGGUUUUCUUAUUGGACUGUUAUUGGUUCUAUACAAUAUAUUUAGCUAGAAAAUGACACUCGUUAGAGUAUCUCUCCGUUUAUAACCGAUUUAGUCCAUCAAAUUUUUAAUUUUAAAAUAAAUAUUUGGUGUUAAAAAAAAACUAGGAUUGACAAAGCAUCACCGCGCCGCAACAGUUAGAAAUUAGGUGUUUGAGUCCUUCUUGAGUCAAUAUCCCUAAUUCUUCUAAGUUUCCCUAAGAUGAAGGGUAACACAAUUUUUAAUCUACCAUAUUUUGAUUAGGUUUUUAUACUUUUUUUUGGUUCUUUUCAUUGUUUUUUUUUUUCAAUUAUCGCAUUCAAAUUGGGUGAAUACACAUAGAUUAUUCGAUUUCUCUAUUAAAAAGAAUAAGAUUUUGAGUUUUUAGUAACACACGACUUUUUUAACCAAACACUAUUUCACUGUUUAAUUGGUUAAGAUGUGCGCAUUUUACAAUCAGGCUUAUAUCCUAUUAAAGUUUUUUAUUUCUCAUUCAAUAGAAACUGGUUUUAUAUAUUUUUUCAAAAAAAGAACAAUUUUUUUUCAAAAAAAAAUUCAAUUAAUUUGAAUAUAACGAAAUAUCAGAAAAAGAAAACAUAUAUUUUCUGUCAAUGUUAGUAUGACCUUUUGAAUAAAAGAUAUACAAGUCAAUAUUACCUUUUAACACACAAAACGCGUUGUAAUAAUACCUCUUAAUAUAUAUUAUUACCCUUUAAACAAAUGCUAGAUUUGACCAAAAAUGCUAUAUUUUUUCCUUUCAAUUUUAUUAUUAAUUUAUUAUCUUUUAACACAAAAUAAAUACGCUGUAAUAAUACCUGUUAAUAAUAUUAACUUUUAAAAAAAAAACACUAGCUAGAUUUGUACUCAAGAAUAUGCUAGAUCUUUUCCGUCAUUUUUAUUAUUACCUUUAAACACAAAAUACACACAUGACAAUUAAAAACUAUUUUUUAAAUUGAUAAUAUUUGAUUUUUUGUAAGGUUAAAAAAGGUUAGAAAAUAUUUGUUUAGGAAGAAAAAAACGCAUAUUUGACUGUGAAUGUAUACAUGUGUACAUUUCGAAGAUAUGAUUUUUGUAUGGAGCAAUGAGGGAGUAACAAAUGUCAAACAUGAUAAGAUGCAGUUUGACUGUAACAAAAUAUCCUUAUAUAUAUAUGGGCAUUAAGCAAUACCAUCAACCACAAAAAAAUUACAAGACAGGUAAAAAAAAUAAAGAGAGGAGAAUCUAUGGAGAUGGGUGCAGGUAGCAGUUCUAGCGCCAGGCCAAAGAGGAAGAAGGGUAUAAGAAAAACGGAGGUCAUCAGUUAUGAACAAAGCGUGGUGCAAUUGUCGAAAGAAGGGAGAAAGACAUAUAUGAUUGUGGAGAAAAAACGUAAAAGGCCAUUGAACACAAUUCGUGGAGCUUACUCAGCCGUCUUUGAUAACACAUAUCCUCAAUACAACUGGCUUUACAAUGGCUGGCUCGUCGAGGAGCGUCGCAUCAUGUUGUCAGGCCGACUUUACCGGUACUAUUACGAUCCAAAGGGGAAAGAGUACAAAUUCAGGUACCUAGUGGAGCAGGUUCUCACAAGCAUUGGAAAGCAUCUGGCUAUUAAGAAGCCAGUGGUCAUCGUCCUCGACGACUAAUGAUCUGCUCUUUGCGAAUGCUCUUUUGUACCUUGGACAAAAGGAAAUUUACCUGUCUUAAAUUUGUGUUUUUAAUUUGAGGACCACAAUAUUUAAGAUUUCUUGGAUGUUAUUUGAUUAAGGAUUCAUUGAGUUGUUAUUUCAAUUAUUUGCAAAAACUGAUUUUAAGUGACAAGUUUAAACAUCUUAUUCAAGAACACCAUAUCAGUUCCAUAUAUUUCUAUAAUCAUUUUACAUAAACAUUCUAAAACCAAUUUGUGAACAUGUUUUCGAUUGUUCUUGACGUAGUGUAAUUCAUACGUCCAACACAUGGAAACAUAUGUCAGUCAUCUGCAUCGAAAUUUGAUUUUGUUGAGUGAAGUUUUUUUUGCUUAUAUUUUGUGUAGUAAAGAUGAUUGAUAUAUACAUACAUAUAUAUAAUAUAUGGUGGAUCCAGUAUGUAUUCGCUUUAUAUAUAGAUAGAUAUAGUCAGGAGUUCAUUUAGUUCGUUUCUGCAUACCCAGUUUAUGACUUUGCAACCUAGUGUUUUAAACCACAACCACAUAUAAUGUAUUUUUAGCUAUAUAACUAAUUUAUGUUUUAGUUAUUUUGAAUUCAAGAUACAGUCAAUGGACAAUCCAUGAUGUAAUUCACCUAAUGAUAAAAGAGUAUUUAGAGUGAUCCAUCUAACUGGACUGAUUAUAUUUGAUGUAGCAAACAAAGAUAUAUGGUUGAACACCAAAUACGUAUGUCUCCUAAAUUUUUUAUAAAACAGUUUCUAGUUUUUUAAUGUUUCGUCGUCUCGCUUAUCCGUUUAUGACUCUAUGUGCCUAUGUGUUAAUGGUAUGAUGAUACUAUAUAUAAUUAGAUAGAGAGUGAACCUAUCUUUUCUAAUAAGAUAAAUAGAUUAUAGAUAUGACUGUAAUUUAAUUGAUUAAAUUGCAUUUUAAUGUUACCAAAACGUUUACAAAGUAAGCUUUUCCUAAGGAAGUUUACAAAACUGGAACUUUGCCACAGUUAACUACUUAUACAAAAGAAGACUCAAACUCAAAGCAAAAUUCAAGGGGUGAUAUGGAAAUGCAAUAGUGUUCUUCCAUGGAAAUCAAAUGAUACGGUCCCUCAUGGUGCAAUGCAACCAAUGUUUGCUUUGAUUGAGGUAGUACUGAGCAGAAACCCCAAGCGUUGUAUAUAUAUAUUACAGCUCCUUCUCUAGUCAUCUUGUAACUGUAAGUGAGCACUUGGAGUAACAGCCUCGCAAUAGAACAAAGGUUGGCUAUGAGACUACAUCUUGUAACUGUAAGUGAGCACUUGGAGUAACUGUAAGUGAGCACUUGGAGUAACAGCCUCGUAACAGCCUGGUGGAUUUGGCCAGAGAUUUUCUCAUCCCAAAGAGAGAGAGAGAGAGAGUGGGUGAAUGCAUUACUCAACAAAGGUUGGCUAUGAGACUAUAUGCUCAGGAAAAUCAUAUAGAUUAACAAAAGAGUUUGAAACGAAGAAUAAAGACUUCAUAACAUACAGAUUCUAGAUCAAGCAUGGUCUAAGGAAAAAAAAAUACUGUGCAAUAGAUUGAAUGAUAAACAAACAACAAAAGAAUUUGUCUAAAACUACAUAUCAAUAUUUCCAAAAAAAAAAAAAUCCAAAAAAAUAAAAGAAUGUCUUCAAGAACCUA
Long non-coding RNA from Brassica napus (rape), 3414 nucleotides. RefSeq lists it as uncharacterized. The record is from RefSeq and is a predicted model, not a curated record. The transcript has 2 exons. Lineage: Eukaryota; Viridiplantae; Streptophyta; Magnoliopsida; Brassicales; Brassicaceae.